This 465-nucleotide ribosomal RNA is filed under the name Vreelandella stevensii. RNAcentral describes it as "partial 16S ribosomal RNA". It matches the Rfam family "Bacterial small subunit ribosomal RNA", at positions 338 to 795 of the family's 1533-position model. Lineage: Bacteria; Pseudomonadati; Pseudomonadota; Gammaproteobacteria; Oceanospirillales; Halomonadaceae. The record is from RNAcentral.
CCUACGGGGGGCAGCAGUGGGGAAUAUUGGACAAUGGGGGGAACCCUGAUCCAGCCAUGCCGCGUGUGUGAAGAAGGCCCUCGGGUUGUAAAGCACUUUCAGUGAGGAAGAACGCCUGGUGGUUAAUACCCAUCAGGAAAGACAUCACUCACAGAAGAAGCACCGGCUAACUCCGUGCCAGCAGCCGCGGUAAUACGGAGGGUGCGAGCGUUAAUCGGAAUUACUGGGCGUAAAGCGCGCGUAGGUGGCUUGAUAAGCCGGUUGUGAAAGCCCCGGGCUCAACCUGGGAACGGCAUCCGGAACUGUCAAGCUAGAGUGCAGGAGAGGAAGGUAGAAUUCCCGGUGCAGCGGUGAAAUGCGUAGAGAUCGGGAGGAAUACCAGUGGCGAAGGCGGCCUUCUGGACUGACACUGACACUGAGGUGCGAAAGCGUGGGUAGCAAACAGGAUUAGAUACCCUAGUAGUC